This 860-nucleotide long non-coding RNA is filed under the name Equus asinus (donkey). Its description in RNAcentral is "lncRNA (ENSEASG00005015870.2)". Lineage: Eukaryota; Metazoa; Chordata; Mammalia; Perissodactyla; Equidae. The record is from RNAcentral.
CGGGGCGCCAGCAGCAGGCUUAGUCCAAUCAAGGCUCGUUUGUUCCUCCUGGGUUUGCCAGGGAGGCAAUACCUGCCUAACCCACUUUAGGUGUCUGACCUGUCCUUUCCGCAUUCUGGGGUCCAGACCAUGUCCUAGACGUUCCUGGUCCCCGAUUCCCUCCCGUUCAACUCCGUUCAGAUGCUCACCUGGCUGGAACACACCUAGCCCAGGCUGAGCUUGGUCUCGUAUUGGGCAGAGGGCUCGGCUUCUGACCCGCCCUGCUCACAGGUUCCUGGGCACCGAUUCCCACGACUCCUACUUCUCCAACGGGCAGAGGCAUCGUGUGGUGGCAGAGAUCCUGGCUCGCACAGUCUAUGGGAAGCAGGAACGAGAAGAGAUGGGCAUUGCCCAUCUGCUGGCCGAGGGAGUCUAUGCUGCAGCCUUCCCACUGCAUGAGGGAAGAGAUCUGUGCCAGUGGAGGUGCCUUCCUCAUGUGGCCACUCUGUGACACCUGUGCCACAUGGAAUAUUUCCGAUGAUAGAAGCUUUGGUGAGGUUAGACAUUGGGACCUUUGGAGUCUCAAAGAGAAGCCCUGCCUGGAAUGGGGAAGAAGGGGAGAAGCAUUCCACUCACCAACCCAGCCAGCCAGCUGCCUAUCCAUCCAAACGUCCAAUCAUUGAUUCUGUAUCUGUUUGGUUCCGUCUCCACUGUCACCCUCCAGCCCAAGCCAGCAUUCUCUCACCUGGACCACUGCAGUGGCCUCCCAACAGGUCUCCUUGCUCCUCUGUUUGCCCCACUUAAUCCGUUCUCAGCUGCCAGGGCAUUCUUUUGAAAACACAAAUCACAUCCUGCAUUAUCCUACUCAGAGCCUUCCAGUG